UGUAACAGCAACUCCAUGUGGAAGGUUUGUGUCUUCCAGUGGAGCUGCUGUUGCGUG
Molecule: microRNA precursor, 57 nt
Organism: Carassius auratus (goldfish)
Lineage: Eukaryota; Metazoa; Chordata; Actinopteri; Cypriniformes; Cyprinidae
Gene: mir194a
Product: microRNA 194a
Source: Ensembl